CAGGCCUAACACAUGCAAGUCGAACGGUUUGUAGCAAUACAGAUAGUGGCGCACGGGUGCGUAACACGUAACUAACCUGCCUAAGACUGGGGGAUAGCCCGCCGAAAGGCGGAUUAAUACCGCAUAAUAUCCUUUACUGGCAUCAGUAGUUGAUUAAACCUGAGGGGGUCUUAGAUGGGGUUGCGGGUCAUUAGCUAGUUGGUCAGGUAACGGCUUACCAAGGCGACGAUGACUAGGGGAGCUGAGAGGCUGGUCCCCCACACGGGCACUGAGAUACGGGCCCGACUCCUACGGGAGGCAGCAGUAGGGAAUAUUGGGCAAUGGGCGAGAGCCUGACCCAGCCAUGCCGCGUGCAGGAAGAAGGCUUUCUGAGUCGUAAACUGCUUUUGAUAGGGAAGAAUAACCUGUACGUGUAUCAGGGAUGACGGUACCUACAGAAUAAGCACCGUCUAACUCCGUGCCAGCAGCCGCGGUAAU
Molecule: ribosomal RNA, 477 nt
Filed under: uncultured bacterium
Lineage: Bacteria
Description: bacterial SSU rRNA
Rfam family: Bacterial small subunit ribosomal RNA
Source: RNAcentral